Molecule: long non-coding RNA, 1071 nt
Filed under: Crocodylus porosus (Australian saltwater crocodile)
Lineage: Eukaryota; Metazoa; Chordata; Crocodylia; Crocodylidae
Description: lncRNA (ENSCPRG00005004923.1)
Source: RNAcentral
CGUGUAGCGGCAGAGCCGAGGGGACGGGGGUGGCGCUGCCCUCCGCCCCGCUGGGCUGCAGCAGGCAGGCACCGUGAGCCAGCCCCUGCCAUGCAUCUGAGCAGCAGCAGCAGCAGCAGCAGCAGCAGCAUCCAGCUCCCUCCCGCGCCCUCCUCCUCCGUCUCCCGCGGCCGCCGCUGCGCCGGGCUCCUCGCUGCUGCCUCUGCAUGGAGAAGUUGCAGCCUUUGCGAAGCCCCGGCUGAGCCCUGAGACGCUGCCGCCGCCGCCGCCUCGGAGGAGGGGAGGGCGGGGAGGGGGCGCGGGCGAGCCGCUCUCCCAAGCAUGAACUGAUCGCCUGCCCCAGCGCUGGCUGGUGGCGGCGCGGAGCUGCGAGCCCCCAUGCCUCUGGGGCUGGCCCGCCCCGAGCUGCCGCCGCGGGAGCCUCGCGCUUGGCACGGGCGGAGCGAAGGCAGCGGCCCCCGUUGCUGCUGCUGCUGCUGCAGAGGCGGCCGCCGCCGCUAGCCGCCGCGGAGCCGCUCCUCAUGCCCGGCGCUCGCCCGCCGUCUGACCGGAGAGGGCCGGGCCCGACGGGGGGCACCGGAGUGCGAGCCAUGGGGUAUUGCAGCGGCCGGUGCACGCUCCUCUUCCUCUGUGGCAUGCAACUGAGACGAGACACAGGCCAGCCACAGGAACCUCAUGGGAUCAUAAACAAAGGGACAUACCUCACUUGGCCUGCCCAGGGGCCUUUCAACUACAUAUCUGAUAAUGAAUUACCUACUUUUGGAAUACUAUAAGCAAUUCAGAUGUCCUAACUUCAAGGAUAUGGAAAAAUUGAAGAGGAUAUGCAGCAGAACCUCAAAAUUUACUGAAAGGUUGGAAAAGAAAGUAAAGGGGCUCUAUAUUUUGGUAAGAAAGGUGAGUUCUUUGGUCUUCUAGAUCCAAUGCCUGGAAGUAGAAGCUCAGCAAAAAUGAGGUGCAAAUUUUUAAUGGGGAAGGUAAUUACUUUUGGAUCAAUUUACCAGGUUUUGAUGAAUUGUCUGUCACAGUAAACACUUAAAUAAAGAUGUGGACAUGUUUCUUAAGUCUGUAAUG